GGACCUUAAGGAGAGAAAGAGAAAGUAAGAACAUUAGUCCAGAAUUUUAGCAUGGAAAGGGGCUGGAUUUUAACUCCUGAAUGGAGUGGUGUGUGAUGUUAGUUGAAAGUAUUAGCUUAAUAUUAUUUCCAUUACUAGAUGCAGUUUUGAAGAAAACAAUUUCCUUCAAUAAAUAUUUCCACCUAAGGGAAAUACCGUAUUAUUUCAGCUGCUAAGUUGAUCCAAAGAGUCAUAAAAAUGUGAAGACCAGACCAGAAGACUUUCUAGUAUACAUCAUAUUUCUAGUCAUAGUGGCCAUUUUAAAAAUUAUUUCUAGGAAGCCUACAAGUAGUUCCUGGAAAAAUUGGAAUUUUUUGUUGUUUCUUCUUUGAGUACCUUGUAUUCACAGAUUUAAUACCCCAAAACAAGGGGAGUUCCACUCUGUUGGUUAUGACAGUUGACAUCUUUUGCAUUACUAACCAUUUAGUGGGGGAAAGAAGUGGUGACCACACCAUUUAAUUGUGUCAUUUCAAUCUCUGUCUUAAUAUCUUAAUCUCUUUGCCCGCUGCAUUUAAAUAAACAUACUUUCAUGAAUCCACCCAGUGCGCUAGAUUGGAUUGUCAGAUCUUUUGCAAUAUAAGAGCAUCUUUAUUUCAUCCUAAAUUUUGUUAUUUGAGCUCUGCUACUCACACAUUUAUGGAGGCCCUCAGCUCCUUCUUAACAAGAUGUUUCUACUAAAUUCUCGGUCCCUCAAAGGACUUGGGAGCUGAGGAUCUGAGCAUCAGGCAAUUUCUCGGCAUAAGUAUUUAGUGCUUCAUUAAGCUACAUUUGGUGCUCUGUGCCGAGACUGGGAGGAAACUUUUGCAAAUGAAAGAAACCGCACCUCUGAUUGGAGUCACUGGAGCUUUGCCCCAACCAGCUCUGCCAUCCCAAAAUGAGUCUACAAUUCCUUUUCAAUCCAGAAGCUGACCCUGUUCAGCUUCAUCCAACAAAGAGAAUAAUGACAUUCAUUCAUUCUUACUCUCUUCUUUCAGGCUUCUCUGCCUGCCUAUAUGGACCUUCUUUCUGUAGUUGACUCCAAAAGCAAGGUAGAUAAUUCUGUGGUUGUAGUUUAAAGUCGAUGUACAGACGUAACCACAAUCAGUUUUUUUGGGUAACCUGUUGAGAGAACCUGAAUCAUUUAAUGAACAGUUUGUGGUUCAAUCUUUCCUGCAAAUCCAGAAAUUGAAUAAAGUAAGUGAUUAUUAAUGAAUUGACAUGUGGGGCCAACAGAGCCUAUAUGUACCUUAGAUUUACUUUAGAAAUAUGUGCCGUAAUAAAAUAGCUGCAAUUUAAUCCUCUCACUCUCAUCUGCUCUGUUUCUAAAGAGGCUUUUAGAAUGAUAUGGAAUUAAGAGCAUACUGCUAAAAAAAGUACCGUCCACUAAACUAGGAAGAUUCCCCGCUCCCAUCCAGCAAUAGCUGAAUUCAUACAACCCAUUUAAUGUGUUUAUUAAUUGCCCCAAUUUCUGGGUUUCCACCCAUACCAUGAAACAUAAGCCAUCCAGGCAACCUAAGCUCAGUCCACACUUGUAAGACACAACAUAAUUGAUUAAGCUUGUAAAAAAAUGCAGCCAUUAUAACUACCCUGGUGAAGCCUGCAAAACAGUAGGUCUGGGAUUGUUGAACACAUUUAAGCCAUCUUGAUGCUGUCUAACAAGUUCCCUCCCUCAUUCCUCUUUUAAAUGUGUUGGGUUUGAGCUACAAGCAGGGCAGUUCAAUGGAUUUGUCUUUUUGUCUGCUGGAUCUCCAGGGCUUUAAUUCCAAACAGGGGAAAUGAUUUCAAGAGGUACUAUGAGGAAAGGUGCCCCACAUGCAUUUGGAAAGCCUGAGAAGUGUUUCUUCUGGUUGUGUGUGUGUGUGUGUGUCUUUAACGAACAGGGACUGUUUUAGAUGGGAAUUUCUCUGUUCUUUAAACCCAUCUUUACUUCAAAGGUCAACCCCAGUCCGCUUACUCUUUUCACUCAUUGUUGUGCUCAUAUGCUCAAGAACCUGAGGAGAAGACAUUCAUACAGAUGGAAAGGCUCAUGUUCCACCUACUUGCAAAAGGAAAGGGCUCAUUUUAGGGGGAAAGCUUUUUUCUCCUGGAAAUGUCUGUCCUGGUUAUAUCCCAAAUCAGCAGCAAAUACAUAUUUACAAAAUGGAAGCAACCAUAUAUGAAUGAGGAGGCCAGUGGAUUUAAUGCAGACAUAGAUCCCAUUACAGAAAUUAUUCUUGCACUCAAGUUCCUCUGAAUCAAAAGGUGGGACAGCCUCAGGAAAGCAUGAUAUGUAUGUAUGUAUGUAUGUAUGUAUGUAUGUAUGUAUGUAUGUAUGUGUCAGAGGUAGGUUUCAGCAGGUUCUGACCAGUUCUGAAGAACCGGUAGCUGAAAUGUUGAGUAGUUCAGAGAACCGAUAAAUACCACCUCUGACUGGCCCCGCCCCCAUCUAUUCUCUGCCUCCCAAAUCCCAGCUGAUCGGGAGGAAAUGGGGAUUUUGCAGUAUCCUUCCCCUGGAGUGGGGAGGGAAUGGAGUUUUUACAGUAUCCUUCCCCUGCCACGCUCACCAAGCUUUGCCAUGCCCACCAAGCCACGCCCACAGAACCGGUAGUAAAAAGUUUUGAAAUCCACCACUGGUAUGUGUGUAUAUAUAUAAAUAUAUACAAAUAUAAAUAAGUUACUUUCAAGUGGGGAGAGGUGAAAUGUAACCUUAUGUCUGAGAAGUUAGCUCAGUUGUGAUGAGCGAGUCAGGGAUUGGUCUGUUUUUUGCUUUGUGAACUUGCCAGUCACUAACCCUUUGCAAGUCUUGUGUACUCUUUAUCUGCCCUAACCUUUCUGAACUCCACAAGAUAGGUUUCCAUGGGUGGAUACCCAUACAGGUCCAGGAAAGAUCCCUCUGGCAUUUAAAUAGGUGCUUGUUGAAUUCCUAGGCCCUAAAUAUAAUUGAAAAUAAAUCCACAUAAUGCAAUAUAUUCCCUGCUAAAGCUUUUUGUGGAUGAUGACUUUAUCUCUGUUUUGCCACCUUAAAUCUAUUCAAUGCCACCUCCCAUGUUGUCCCUUAAGAGGACAGAUAGUACUGAAAUUAGAUUCUCAUAUCUAGUAGUAGAACUUAGAGUGAGUUCUAUAGCUUCUUUUUCCUUUAGCUACUGUGUUUAGAAAACUAGGAAACAUAAUUUGGCUACAACUGGGAAAGGUCGAGUGCAGCAUUUUAUGGAUUUAAUUAAGAGAACCCUUAGCUUCUUCAAUAAUCUAUGUACUUGGUAGGAUCCAAUCCUAGAUAAGUUUACUCUGAAGUAAGUGUCAUGGAUUUCCUAAAAUAGUCAUUUAUGCAUGGCUCUGGAUAUUUCACAUUGCUGACCUUUCAUUAUCUGUCUCAUUAAUGUAACACACUUUUCUAAGAGGCCAUACACUUAGAUUGAUGUUGACUGAUAUUAAUACGAUAAGAUUGAUGUUGCUCAUAAUACCCAUCCUGCUUCCCUCAAAGGCUGAAAACCAGAACUCAUCUGAUCACCAUCAUUCUACUAUUUGUUUAGUUCUUUUGGUGAGGUGGUGGUGGGGUACAUCACCCUUGUUCCAAUAAUCCUGUUUUCUUGGCUUUUAAAGCAACGAAGACGAGGGUUAUUUAGUUGUCAAUUUGGAGACACUCCUGUCCUCCACGUAAAGAGAAUUGUAUUCAGUGAGGAAAAAGUCACAGGCAGUGGUACAACAUACCGUACUUGGUAUAUACAACAUUUCAACUUCAGUCUCAGGUAUCCAUUCAUCUAGCUAGGAGGGAGUUUGUCAGAAAUUUUGAAGAGACUGUAAUAACAGGAGUGUACACAGGGCUAACUGGCAGCUCACUCAAUUGGCAGCACAGACUCCAAACAUUAUUAUGGGUCAGCCGUCAGCGUAUUGCUCCUACUACUAAUUAAAUAAGCAACAGUAAAGUAAAACAUGGGUUGUAUUCACACAUCCAUUAUCCUGUAGAUGGCAUUAAGACACAAAUACUAGAGGUUUGAUUCUCAGUACGACAAAAGUAUGAAGGUUUUUCAUCUGAAGAAAGCAACAAUGGUUACUUAAUUGAAUAAUAACCUUGGUAGCCUAGUCUGAGAUUCAUGGGAUUCUACCUAUAAAAUAUGCUGACCGAAAUCCUAAAUGUGUUUACCGAAUCACUUUUGACUGACUUAACCACUGUUUAAUCAAUAGACCCAGUUUUUGGGUUUGCCUGACAAAACACUCCAGCCACAAAACACUCAAAAUUAAAUAGUAAUUGGCAAAUCUGUGGCUGUUUAUGUCCUACAAACCAGCCUCUGUGUCCAUAAGGGUUUUUUUCCCCCCAAUACAAUGCCUUAAACUAGUGGCAGCCUUAGCCUUUUCCGAGCUCAGAACCCCAAGCAAAAUUGGGCUUGAUUAAUUCGUGGCAGAGACACCUUGAGGGAAUCUUAGGGCUGAAGAAGUUGAAAAAGUAUCCUGAAAGAAGGCAGCAGCCAACUAUUUCUUCACCACUGCCAAAGCAAUUGCACGGAUGUCAACAGGAGUUGUGUUCCCCUUGACAGAGACUUUACCUUUAUCUUCGACUUUGAUCCACCAGAGCGUUUUAGGACUUCUAUUCAUCUUCACUUCAGACUACAUUUCUCCAGGAUUUCUCACCAGAAGCCAGCUCGUACACUGAUCUACUUGGCUGCAAGAUGCAGGAAAAGAGAAGGAGUCUCCGGAAAAGGAAGACCACUGGCUUCUUUCUCCAGAAAAGAAGCUGGCUCUUCCUUUGAACAGUCUUUUCC
This is a long non-coding RNA of Ahaetulla prasina, 4754 nucleotides long. RefSeq lists it as uncharacterized. The transcript is spliced from 3 exons. The record is from RefSeq and is a predicted model, not a curated record. NCBI's taxonomy places the organism in Eukaryota, Metazoa, Chordata, Lepidosauria, Squamata, Colubridae.